UUUUUCAUCGUUAUUUUUUGAUAGGAAACUGACUUUAGUGCCUCUGUUGGUUUUAGGGGAAAGAGACGGCAGAGAGGUGGUCGACGCUAAACCUAUUCGCGCCGGUACCCAACCCGUUCCAUCACGUGACUUCUUGUGCUGUUCGAUGAGUUGGAGCAGUACAUACUGCCAAUCGCCCAUCGCCUGCACCGCUGCCCCGACCUCCAAUCGCCGCGCCUCCUUCGCCACUAGACCAGGUGUCUAAAGGGCCUUCUUGAGUAUGUACGAGUAGAAGGUUCGAUCAAAAAGGUUUAGCUCACCCUACAAACACGUACUGGUUUCGAACAUUCACGCAACAGAACCGCCGGUCAAGACUUGCUCCGCACCAGGCGCGCAAACUCGAUGACGACAACGCGGCCGUGGUCGCUCCGGCGCAGAGCGCAGCGAUUAGACCCUUCCGCCUACGGCCAGUGGCUCCUCUAGUGCCCACGGCCCUGUCUCUUGAAACCGCGACGCAACUUUCCGGAUAACAAGGAAAAAGUAGGGUCGUACUCCUUCUCGUUGUCCUCUAAUCUUUAGUUCUGAACAAGUCUACCUUUGUAGAUUUGCGUGUGCCUCAGUCGUUUCAAUAAUGGAUUAAUUUAAACUACCGAACAACAGACGGAAGAAAAUUACGAUCGAUCCACGGUUUUGCAGUGUAUUCUCAUGACUACGUAGCACAGAAACUAGGAUGCUGUACUACCUUUCGUAUGACCUAACCAACGUCAGAACGAAAACUAGAUGGCUCAGCAGGUUCACCGCGAACACACAAGUUUGGGUCGUACAGACGCGUACGUAACCUUCAAAGAGAGAGGAAGUACACAAUCCUGUAGGAACACACUAACACAAACAUCUACGAUACCAGCGUUCUUUAGUUACUCCGGUAUACUUUUAGUUCAUGAGGGAAACAUUUCUUCAUGACAUAACUUUAUUUGCGAGAAUAUAAAGAAAUGUCUCCCUCAUCUUUUCUUAACUAGUUUAACAUGAAACGGACACACUUUGGGUACACAUUUAGUCCGUUUCCGAAGUUAAUUAGAAAACCUUAGAGGGAAAAUGGACGUCGGCGUUCAAAUGUAGGAGUUGGUUAUUAAUCUAAUCAAACCAAGAGGAAAUUUUUUUUUUCUAAUCAUGUCAAGGUAUAGACUAAAGCCAACAUUUAUUUUUUCCUAACAAAUAACUGUUUCUUUCCUAACAAAUAAGGACAUGUACGUACAAACGGACGCACGAGUACGUACUGAAAAACAUGAGCAGAGUAGUGUAGGC
This 1281-nucleotide ribosomal RNA is filed under the name Triticum aestivum (bread wheat). RNAcentral describes it as "partial small subunit ribosomal RNA". Lineage: Eukaryota; Viridiplantae; Streptophyta; Magnoliopsida; Poales; Poaceae. The record is from RNAcentral.